AUGAACGCUGGCGGCGUGCCUAAUACAUGCAAGUCGAGCGAACAGACGAGGAGCUUGCUCCUCUGACGUUAGCGGCGGACGGGUGAGUAACACGUGGAUAACCUACCUAUAAGACUGGGAUAACUUCGGGAAACCGGAGCUAAUACCGGAUAAUAUAUUGAACCGCAUGGUUCAAUAGUGAAAGACGGUUUUGCUGUCACUUAUAGAUGGAUCCGCGCCGCAUUAGCUAGUUGGUAAGGUAACGGCUUACCAAGGCAACGAUGCGUAGCCGACCUGAGAGGGUGGUCAGCCACACUGGAACUGAGACACGGUCCAGACUCCUACGGGAGGCAGCAGUAGGGAAUCUUCCGCAAUGGGCGAAAGCUUGACGGAGCAACGCCGCGUGAGGGAUGAAGGUCUUCGGAUCGUAAAACUCUGUUAUUAGGGAAGAACAAAUGUGUAAGUAACUAUGCACGUCUUGACGGUACCUAAUCAAAAAGCCACGGCUAACUACGUG
Molecule: ribosomal RNA, 496 nt
Filed under: uncultured bacterium
Lineage: Bacteria
Description: partial 16S ribosomal RNA
Rfam family: Bacterial small subunit ribosomal RNA
Source: RNAcentral